Molecule: long non-coding RNA, 8322 nt
Filed under: Salmo salar (Atlantic salmon)
Lineage: Eukaryota; Metazoa; Chordata; Actinopteri; Salmoniformes; Salmonidae
Description: lncRNA (ENSSSAG00000114208.1)
Source: RNAcentral
CUCUCUUAACUGAGCAAGUGUAGGAACAAGGAUGGUUUGGCUGCAUCUAGGGGAGGGUGACUGCCUGCUAAGGGAAUUUUCGAAUCCCAAUGAUAAUAAUUAACAAUCAAUAAGCCUUGACUAAUCCCCAAGGUUUGUAAGACACUGGGUUAAUAAUAAUUAGGCAAGGACUCAGCUUUCUGCAAAAGGUCUGUACAGUUUAUUCAGAGAAAGUAAAAAAAUAGGACUCAGUCCCGUUCUAAAGUCAAAAAUUAGGACUCAGUCCUUUUAUAAUACACACACAUAUUCCUAUCUUUAGACCACUCCCUUCUCAAACAACCAGUACUUUUCCACUCACCACAAAGAACCAUAAAGUUUGCCACAUUCUUCAAGGCUUUCACCUCCCCUCCCCCUUUAUGACCCUCUUGGUUUGAAACCUCUCCAAUGUUUUUCUUUUACCUAAUCUACAACUUCACUCAGUUUACAUCCCUACUAAAGAAUAUCACCUCAAAGUUUUACAAUCCUAACCGAUCUCCCCAUAUCCUGAUUUUAUCUUCCCAUUAUUCUUAAACAUAUCACCCUAUUCUAUAAUUUCAGAGUGGAAUAGUUAAGUCAUUUUCCUAACACAUACAAAUCCACCCUUUGACUAAAUGUUACACUCUGAUACUUCAAUUUUUAUUAAACAAUAAAAUCAUACCAAAUCAAACCAUUAAAUGUAUAUACAUCAUCUACUCAUCAAUGGCUGUUUACUACUACUACCAAUCCUAACUCUUCUGUUCAGGAUUAUCAUCAUGAUCUUCAUUGAAUAAACAGUCUCUAAACAUUGAAAAUCGUCUCAUUAAGUUCUGGCUCCUCAGGAUUGAAUGUAUCAGCGGUGUCCAUCAGGUCUAGAUCUGUAUCUCGUUCAUUCAAUUGGUCAGACUCUGCGAUGGGCCCGUACCUCACCAUCUUUUGAGUCACUGCAUUCUCCAACGCCUUACUCACCAAACCUCGGACACAGGGAAUAAAACAACAACCACAUAAUACCAGCAUACCCAUACAAACAAUAGCAGCCCCCACAAUAGUAGCUACUAUGGUUUUCCAUUUGCCAAACAUUUCAUCAAACCAUCCGAUCACAGAUGUAUUAACCCCUAAGUUCUCAGCCCGUUCAUCACUUAGUGCGGUCAACCCAGCCAAGGCUCUAGUUACAGUCCCCUCUGGUGAUGUAUUAUUUGGAAUAAAAGUACAGCAAUGACCCCCCACCAUUCUACAAACCCCGCCCUUCUCUGCCAAUAACAUAUCGAGAGCCAACCUAUUUUGCCAAGUCAUGAGAGAGGUGGCGGAUAAUUGGUCAGAGAUUCCCUUCACUGCAUCUCUAGUCUGAUUUACAAAUCUUUGUUGAUUAUAAUAGAUAUAGUUUAUCCAAUCCACAUUCUUAUUUAUCGUAACCCACCAAAAAAAAGUAGUUGUGAACCCUUCACCUAUUUGAUUCAACGCCUUGUAUUCAUCUGGUACUCCUCUAGGGAUCCCAAUGGAAUGGGGCUACCCUCAUCUAGGACCAGACUUCUCUUAUUUCUUACUAUUUUACUCACCACUGGCCUUUGAUGACUAAUCCUCACUGAUUGUACCAAUAACACUGGGGCGCAAGUACCUACCCACCCUUUUGGUAACAUCUGCCUUAUGCGUCCUUGGUCGGAACAUGCCCACCAUACAUCAGUUAUAGGUGCUGUAAGGUUAAGAAUCUUCUCCUGCACUUCUAAGUCUGUCACAUUCACUACUGUCUUACCUCCAUUAAAAUCUCCCAAAUCCCUACUGCCAUUCCUGUGUCUAUAACACUGAUACUCUCCAGGAGUUAGAGUGAACUGAAGUGGAUUGGCUGCACUCUUUAAUCUGGCCAACCCCAUUCCUGUACAGUUCACCUCCUCCUGAUUAGAUCCUAAGUCUAACACACAAGAGAGCAUAGUCUGUGGCAUUGGAGCCGUCAACAUAGUUGGUCACCCAGUAGAGCAUGCAUAACAAUUGGUUUGGCCCAGAGCCCUGGCCGUAUAAUUCAUCCAUCUUAACCAGAUUUUCAUCUGGUAUUCCUUCUAUCUCCCCUUGGUUCCUUUCUUGGAGAAGGAAGUCCUUCACAUCAGGUAGACUAAUGGAUUUUCCACCUGAAUUAGCAAUUCCUAAUAACGGAUUUACUACGGUGUAUUUUCCUGUAGUGUCUGUCAACUGAAAUGAUAUGCAGGUAUCCUUGCCCUACUCAUCAGCGCAUGCCAUAUACUUAAUUUGCAUGUCAUUCCUAGUCACAUUUUGUAUAGUUACAUUUGUAUAGUUAUUCCGUUCAACACCCCACCGUGCACUCCAUUUCCAGAUAUUAGUCUCAUAUUCCCUGCCCCAUGUGUGUUUAAACACCUGUGACCAGGAACACAUAGACCUAGUUGGUUGACACAGGUAUAAGGGGGUGUUGUCGUCCGUUAGUCAUAUUUAGUACCCUCAUCCUGAAUCUCGCGUUUUGUUCUUCUCUAACCCCUAUUUUAUAUGUUAGUCUUCCUUGCCUGUCCUUACUUUGAGUAGUUUGUCUUUUGCUUCUCAACCCUGGUAGAGAUUCGGUACGAUUUAUGCCUACUGAUGGUGGAUCUGGAUGUAUCAAGAAUAUUAUUAGUACUAUGAUGCAGUUUAGGGUCCCCCCCAUAUUCCCAAAAAUCACCAACCCUCUCCUGCCUGCAGCCUAUCUGCCCGGAACCACCCCAUACUCACACUCUAGGAACACACACAGUGAUGACAGGUCGGGUUAGGGAAUCUUCGUUAAGGAGGUAACCCCCGAACCCUAUUGGUACUCGGUUCUUCUCCUAACUCUGUGUGUGAUCAGCAGUGCUUGUAUGUGUUCCUACCUUCUUGCAGUGGGUAACGUAGACCCAAGUGGCUCUCUCAGCUAUUCUAAUGGCAAAGGCGGUAGUUAACAGAACCUGGUAGGGUCCUUCCCAACGGGGCUGUUUCCAGUCUUUUCUCCUCAGGGACUGGAUCCACACCCAGUCUCCAAGCUAUAUUGCAUGAAUCACCUUCUCCUGUAAUUCACCUGUUGGACACAAAAUCUUGGACAUGUGGAUUUGGUUAACAAACAGUCUUCUCAUGUGUUUUGCUAGUAUAUCUUCAACUUCUAUGUCUAUCUGUUGUGGUCUCUCUAACUCUGGCAUUUCUAUAUGGUCUACCUGAUUAGCUGAAAUAUAAUCCAUUGCUUAAAGAAAUAGAUCCUAGUAAACCAACUCUAGGGAUAAUAUCUAUCCUAUUUUUUUAGCUACCAUAAUCAUGUCCACCAAGUAAGUUGAGAGCGCUUCUACCCAUUUACUAUUCUUAUCUAUUAUUGCUAAACACCCUUCUUUCCCUCACUCCGGAAUAGGUUAUAACAUAUAUCAAUGAAGUCCAUUUCUAAUUGUUGGAAUGGAUAUUCUACCUGGGGGUUAUUCUCCCAGUGGUGCUCUUCCUCUACCUUGAUGAUUAUUCUAUGCACAUAUAACACAUCUUGUACAAAAAUAUUUUAAAGUCAUUUUUAAUUCCGUAUGCUACAAAGUGUUUCCUAAUUAUUUCCAUCAUCCCCCCGUUGAUACAUGGCUCUGCCCAUGUAUCAACAUAGCUGCAUACCUAAACAGAGACUUUGGUAAUAUAGGUAAAUUACCCUGAUACCAAAUACCAUCUUUAUUUACCACACCUAAUUUUUUUCCCAUUUAGAAAUUUCCUUUACUGGUGCUCUAGACUGACUAUCUUUUAGUAGGGUUUUAUCUAUGCUCACUUCCUCUUUCAAAUAUUGCCGUGUGGGAGUCUGUGGUUUAAGGCCUGCCUUCUUCGCUUCUUCAUCUGCCUUUCUGUUGCCAUUGCUAAUUUCAUUCGUUCCCUUAGAGUGAGCUUCACACUUACAAAUUGCUAUCUUUUCUGGCAGCUGUACAGCAUCUAAUAAGUUCAAAAUCACCUGAGCAUGUGUAAUAGGUUUACCAGAAGUGGUUACCAUUCCUCUUGUGGAAGAAUUCCCAACUGGGGCUGCUCUCUUUGCCAAAACCUUGGAGAAUUGCACUAUGCAUCACUUUCUCUAAUUACACCCCCCUCUGCCAAGUCUUCAAAGGUGGGAGUAAUCUCUUUUAUGGCCUCGGCUUUCUGUGGGAGUGACAACCACAUUCAACAGAAUCAUUCAACAGGUUAUCUAGACAUAACCUGGAGUUCAGGAUUGGAAUACAUGCCUGCUCUCCUGACAUCCCCUGUUUCAUAACCAAUGGAGCAGACAGUCUUUCCACUGUCGGAUGUCCGGAAGCUGAACAACCAAAAUCUUUUCCUCAUUUGUUCUACCUCCUUCAGGCUUAAAAUAUAUCCUAAAUACUUAAAAUAAGUAUAGCAUUAUUAAACUCAUUCUUGCUAACUCAAUAACCUUGUUCAACAACAAAAUAUAAUAAUAGUUAUUAUAUCAAUUUCACAGCCUUAUUGUGUUCAAUUUCUUACACUGCCUUCUCAUGUGUUAAAUUACAAAUAUGUCUAAGAACUUUAAACUCCAUCAUAAUUAUCAAUUACACAAAUUACCUUAAAAUCAGUAUCACAAAUGACCUUAAAUUCACUAUCCAAAUGGCCCUCCCAUGAGGCUGAUCAGACCACAAAGGAACACCAUGAUAGAGGUCAAGAGUCAUACCACCCCUUCACAGAAGUGUUUCCUACUAUCUUAGACAAAUUAAAGUUUACUUAAAACUCAGAAAAUAAAACUUCUAAAAUUCCAUGUGUGUAUACCCCUUUAAGAUAUCGUGGCUCUAGGAAACUUUCCUAAGAGAGACAAUGAAGCACUCAUUUUCCUAGAGAAAAAAACCUCUUGGUCAACAUUUCAUUAUACUACACCAAUUCAGAAACCCAAACGUUGACUAUAAACAAAACUUAAUAAUAAUUCCACUGUAACCCCCUUAAAUCAUGAAUCAUUUGUAUUAAACUUCCUCAAUGGUUAUGUGUACUUAAUUGAACAUGCGCUACCCUUGGAUACAACAUUUAACUUCAAAUCUAUGAAAUUUCCCUACUUAACCUACUCCUUGACUAGUUUAGCCCAAGCUUGCUUUAUAACCUUAAAACCCCUUCAGUCUGUCUUCAAACAGGCUCUCAAAGUGUUUGAUAGGAAUACUCUGCCAUUAGACACACACAACUGUGAUUGAUGUGCACUGUCCCUGUAAAAUAAAAUGAACUCAACCUGAGGUCGGUGGUUGGCAAUUCAACACUUCACAGUCUGUGUCCUCUGAAUCCUCACUGUCAUUCCCCUCAUCUAGCCAUGCCUGUUCUUCCUCAUCCUCGGACUCCUCUCGCUCUCUCAUUCGCCUACGUUCCCUCUUCUGUCUAUCCCUAAACUGUCUCUGUCUACUGUUCCUUGGUGGGGCCUUACAAUCCUCUGCCAUUUGGCCUGUUUUAUUGCAGUUGUAGCACUUUCUCUCCUUGGGUUCUAUCCACUUUCUACUCCCCCUGUUUCCCCCUUUUUAAAAUCAUUCCUGCUCUUUCCUGCAAUUUCCCCAAGAGUGGCGAUCAAAUUUUCUGCUCCUGUCUGUUCUUUCUUACUUUUCUUUUCCUUGCCAUUAUGCUCAUGGUGUAUAGCAUACCUCUUUACUUCGGCCAAUGUGGCUGUUCCCCACCCUAUCAGAGUCUCUUUUAUGAUUUGGCAAAUUUCAGGCUUCAUACCACUCAAGAAGGCUAUUUUUAACUGUUGGUGGUAAGGUCCGUCGUCUCCCUGUCUAGGAUCUACCAGUCCACUAUUAGCAUUGAACACGUCUCAGUCUCUCUAAAUACUGGCUAACAGUUUCCCCAUCCCCUUGGUUACACUCCUGUAUCUUUGAAAAGUCUGCAUGUCUAUGGUAAUUGUCCCUAAGAUUAUUACAGAGCUGUGUCAAUUUGUCUGCAUAAUCCCCAUCUCCUGCCCAUGGUAAAACCGGUUCUCCUCCUUGCCCUGGAACCCAGGCUCCCCUCACUGCUGCCCAGUCUUUCCCCACUAUCUGUCGGACAGCCCUUUCCAAUUCUCCUGUAUUUACUUUAAAACUCUCGGUCAGUCCCUCCAUAUCUCUCCUAAACCCUUCUAUUCCUGUUUUUGGAUGUACUAUUCCCUCAACUGCUCUUGCUACAUCUCUCUGAGUCCAGGAUCGAUACACUUGUAAGGUAUCCGAUUGAUCAGCUUCGCCUGCCCUAGGAUUAGGAAACUCUAUGAGAGGACUCUGAUCCUCCUCCCAAUCUGAUUGAACCUCCCACAGCCCUGGCUUAUUAUACGGUGCUAGUCGCUUUUUAAGGUUAGACUCUCUUGGUUCUGGCUCUUCUUUCCUCUCCCUGGCUAUGGCUUGCUCUCUCUAAUCCUACUUGGCUCUCCCUUCUUUUCACUUUCCAUUUUAUUAUUACCUUCUACUCUAUUCUGGGCCUCUGACAGCCACACCCUGGCUGUAUCCAAAACUUCUGCUUGUUGUCCCUGGAUGUUAUUACCACAGGUUUCAUGCAUCUGUUUUAUUAUAACCUCCAGCUUGUCCACAUCUAGACGCCCCAUAAACCCGUAUUUCUUUCUCCAUUUCGGACCAUUAUACACAUUCCUCUUAUCAUCAGACUGCAUAUAGCUCUCGUUCCCGGUUAAUUCCUGGUCCUCCUUUGAGGAUUUACCAUCCAUGUUUAUUAAAUUACUGUUAUGCUUAUUCUCACAAUAUGUGUGUACUUACUCAAUUACUACAUUUAUUUUCUAAUAUGCAUUUUCACUUUCUAUGGGUGUAACCUCCUUCCUCCUAUUUGGAAUAAUCAGACCUAUUUUGCGCGCCUCCGGUAGAUCUCGAUUAUCCCCUCUAAAAUGUAUUUCGACAGGCGAUCUGUAUUCAUACAAAUUAUGUCCCUGACCUACUUUCUAAUAAUUUUGUAUUAUUAUAUUUCGCCUUCUAUAUUACGUUUUCCGUCUAAUAUAUUAUUGACCAGUUAUCGUUUAGGUCUCAAUAUUAGCUCCAAUUCUCACAAUCUAUGUGUGUGCUCUACUGUUAUCAUAUUACGUUUUCCGGCUACUGUACUUCAACCAGUUUUACUGUUAGGUCUUACUGUUAGAUACUGUACUUCAACCAGUUUUACUGUUAGGUCUUACUGUUAGAUACUGUACUUCAACCAGUUUUACUGUUAGGUCUUACUGUUAGAUACUGUACUUCAACCAGUUUUACUGUUAGGUCUUACUGUUAGAUACUGUACUUCAACCAGUUUUACUUUUAGGUCUUACUGUUAGAUACUGUACUUCAACCAGUUUUACUUUUAGGUCUUACUGCAACCAGUUUUACUUUUAGGUCUUACUGCAACCAGUUUUACUUUUAUGUCUUACUGCAACCAGUUUUACUUUUAGGUCUUACUUUUAGGUCUUACUGCAACCAGUUUUACUUUUAGGUCUUACUGUUCGAAAUUUCUUACUUAGAUCUGUGACCCAGUGACCCAACACUAACAUAGAUACUUUUGUAAUUAGACUUUCUCUAUGUUAGAUUAUAUGGAUGGUUAUUCCAGAUACCAUUCAAUCCCGUUUGAUUUAAGAAUCAAGCCCUUUCCCACUCUAUUUUGACUAAUGCAAAGUCCAUUUUUUAAGCGAUUUAAUAUAUAUAUAUUUUUUUACUUAACCCCCAAACAAAUGAAUAAAGAUUACUGACCUUUUCUUUGCAGCUGAGGUAUAAUUUUGGUUAGGUCUCGUCACCGUUUACUGUCGUUUUCCAGUUCACCACCGGCCUGAAAUGAACCCUCGAUUAUUAGAGGGCAGGACUUUGUUUUUUACGGAUGAUUCAUCCGCCCGUGCACGGUUUUCAGUGUCCCCUGGAACGACAGUCAACAAGUAUAUGAGAUCUGCUCGAAGGACCAAUUGUUAAGGGAAUUUUCAAAUCCCAAUGAUAAUAAUUAACAAUCAAUAAGCCUUGACUAAUCCCCAAGGUUUGUAAGACACUGGGUUAAUAAUAAUUAGGCAAGGACUCAGCUUUCUGCGAAAGAUCUGUAGUUUAUUCAGAGAAUUAGGACUCAGUCCUUUUAUAAUACACACACAUAUUCCUAUCUUUAGACCACUCCCUUCUCAAACAACCAGUGCUUUUCCACUCACCACAAAGAACCAUAAAGUUUGCCACAUUCUUCAAGGCUUUCACCUCCCCUCCCCCUUUAUGACCCUCUUGGUUUGAAACCUCUCCAAUGUUUUUCUUUUACCUAAUCUACAACUUCACUCAGUUUACAUCCCUACUAAAGAAUAUCACCUCAAAGUUUUACAAUCCUAACCGAUCUCCCCAUAUCCUGAUUUUAUCUUCCCAUUAUUCUUAAACAUAUCACCCUAUUCUAUAAUUUUAGAGUGGAACAGUUAAGUCAUUUUCCUAACACAUACAAAUUAUUCUAACA